RNAcentral lists this ribosomal RNA (468 nucleotides) under uncultured bacterium. RNAcentral's name for it is "partial 16S ribosomal RNA". It matches the Rfam family "Bacterial small subunit ribosomal RNA", at positions 28 to 507 of the family's 1533-position model. The record is from RNAcentral.
GACGAACGCUGGCGGCGUGCUUAACACAUGCAAGUCGAACGGAAAGGCCCUGCUUUUGUGGGGUGCUCGAGUGGCGAACGGGUGAGUAACACGUGAGUAACCUGCCCUUGACUUUGGGAUAACUUCAGGAAACUGGGGCUAAUACCGGAUAGGAGCUCCUGCUGCAUGGUGGGGGUUGGAAAGUUUCGGCGGUUGGGGAUGGACUCGCGGCGUAUCAGCUUGUUGGUGGGGUAGUGGCUUACCAAGGCUUUGACGGGUAGCCGGCCUGAGAGGGUGACCGGCCAAAUUGGGACUGAGCUGCGGCCCAGACUCCUACGGGAGGCAGCAGUGGAGAAUAUUGCACAAUGGGCGGAAGCCUGAUGCAGCCACGCCGCGUGCGGGAUGACGGGCUUCGGGUUGUAAACCGCUUUCGCCUGUGACGAAGCGUGAGUGACGGUAAUGGGUAAAGAAGCACCGGCUAACUACGUG